AUAAUCGAAUAUGACUUACCGUAGACAGCAGGUGCUCGUUUAGAGCUUAAUGUCCUGCCGAGGUGUUAUGAUAUAGAAUCGGGUUUCUUUGUUCGACCAAAGAUAACGUGAAUCAUCAUGCCUUCGCAGCGUCUGCGGAGGCAUCUUUACUUUUACGG
This is a regulatory RNA element of Paenibacillus sp. FSL H7-0331, 158 nucleotides long. It matches the Rfam family "Ribosomal protein L10 leader". Rfam says of the family: This family is a putative r-protein leader autoregulatory structure found in B. subtilis and other low-GC Gram-positive bacteria. It is located in the 5' untranslated regions of mRNAs encoding ribosomal proteins L10 and L12 (rplJ-rplL). Lineage: Bacteria; Bacillati; Bacillota; Bacilli; Caryophanales; Paenibacillaceae. The record is from Rfam.